Molecule: ribosomal RNA, 253 nt
Filed under: uncultured bacterium
Lineage: Bacteria
Description: partial 16S ribosomal RNA
Rfam family: Bacterial small subunit ribosomal RNA
Source: RNAcentral
GACGUAGGGCGCGAGCGUUGUCCGGAUUUAUUGGGCGUAAAGAGCUCGUAGGCGGCUUGUCGCGUCGAAUGUGAAAACCCGAGGCUCAACUUCGGGCUUGCAUUCGAUACGGGCAGGCUCGAGUUCGGUAGGGGAGACUGGAAUUCCUGGUGUAGCGGUGAAAUGCGCAGAUAUCAGGAGGAACACCGGUGGCGAAGGCGGUUCUCUGGGCAUUACCUGACGCUGAGGAGCGAAAGUGUGGGGAGCGAACAGG